UUGGGUUGCUUUUGAAGCUUUAAUAUAAGCGUGUUUGCCUUGUCUUAUUGUACCUUGUUUUGUCUUGUAUGGCUGUUGUCUCUUGGAGACCUGCUCUUUUCUGGAGAGGCAUUGAUGGAGGAGUUGAUCUUGGGAGGAGAGAGGAAAUCUAUAGAUAUUGUUCCUGGUACUCUUUCCCAUCCAUGUCAGGGUUGGUUGCACGACUGGCUCUGGUCACUGUGCCUCUUGCUUGUGGCUGUGAAGAUGCUAUCUGAUGUCAGCUGAGUUCAACUCCAGGAUCCAGGGCAGGUUCGAGGAUCAUCUCAAGGGCAGAGAACAAGUCCUCAGGCCAUAGGACAGAUGCUCCAGUAGAUAUAGGAGUGUGCUGAUCUUUAACGCUUGUGUUUGAAGCCUAUGAUCUAUCAUUUUCAUCAGCUAAGAUGAUUCGCAUGCAGUGUUUAAGGUUCCUUGGAUUGGAAAGGCAUGGCAAACAUGAGAAGUGAAAAAAGAAUUGAACUUGUACAAUCUC
This is a long non-coding RNA of Mus musculus (house mouse), 508 nucleotides long. RefSeq annotates it as predicted gene, 34211. Lineage: Eukaryota; Metazoa; Chordata; Mammalia; Rodentia; Muridae. The record is from RefSeq and is a predicted model, not a curated record. The transcript has 3 exons.